Molecule: long non-coding RNA, 1027 nt
Filed under: Olea europaea (common olive)
Lineage: Eukaryota; Viridiplantae; Streptophyta; Magnoliopsida; Lamiales; Oleaceae
Description: long non-coding RNA (OEUR_LNC013945)
Source: RNAcentral
AUGACUGUGUCAUGUCUUUAUUAAGGUAAUUGCUCCAUGGUAACAGUUAUAUAACUAAAUAACCACCGGAAAUACAGCACUUAAGAUGUGCCAAAUUAAGGAAGAAUAGAAAACUAGAGCAAGGAACUUGCACAGCAUUUAACGAUUUAGUUACUGUAUUUAAAUGUUGAAAGAGAAGAAAAUGGGAGUUAAUUAGCAUAAAUGGGAAAAUAAUUCAUGCAAAAGACUAUCAGAAGCAUACAUAAUCGCAAACAGAGAACAGGGACCAUAAUGAAAUCUAACUAAAAUAAAACUGGAUAUAAGUAAAUGACCUCAUCCUGAAGUAAGAUGGGAAAAAGAGAAACAAGAAAUGGUCGCGCAUGUUUUACAGGCAUAAUGCUUAUUGGUUAAUCAUAUAUUAUAACUUCAUAGAAAAUUGAUUAUCGCAGGGUACAUAGUACACACUUUGCACAACCACUUGAGGUUAGGGCGGAGGAGGAACUAGUACAAGAAACCCACUUAUACUGGGGCAAAAUUCGUAUACAAUUGGGCGCACAUAGUGGAAAUUUAAAGAAAGACGUCAUGUUACCAGGCUUUUGCCUGUUGCUUCCACUUCAUCUUGAUUAAACAGAGGAACAUACAAUCUGUUUUAAUAGACAAAUAUUUGAUAGUUACUUCACCCUACACUUCUUUUAUCCUUAGCUCUUAUCUGAUAUGGAAGAUAAUAAUUUCUUAAAAUCCACAAUAUACGAAGCCCUUGUUUGAGCCCCAUUCUUGUCAAAAAAUGCAUUUUUAAAUAGUGUAUUGAUGAAAAAUGUGUGGUUAAAAAAUAAAGAAAAGUCAUAUAUUUGGGUGUAAUAUUAUUUUAUUGAAGAAUGUGUGAUUAAAGUGGAUCAAAUCACAGUUGAAAAAUGUAUUUUGAUAGAAAAUGGGACUCAAACAAGGGCGGAAGGAAGACAACUCGCAACAUUAUACAAACAAAAGAUGCAUGGGGACAGACAAUUUCUUUAUUUGUUAAUUAAAAUUUUGAGCAAUAUUUGCCAUUNNN